This is a long non-coding RNA of Dreissena polymorpha, 293 nucleotides long. RefSeq lists it as uncharacterized. Lineage: Eukaryota; Metazoa; Mollusca; Bivalvia; Myida; Dreissenidae. The transcript is spliced from 3 exons. The record is from RefSeq and is a predicted model, not a curated record.
AUUGGGUCUUCCAAGUCGCCUUGCUGCGGAACGCUCAACAACUGGAAAUUCUUUGUGACGUCAAUUUGGGACGUCACGAUGCAUCUAUGGCGGCCGACAUCGACAUCAAGUUACGAACUUAUUGCGCAACAAACAUUUACAGCCGCCGUCGGACUAAACACUCCUUUGUCGACGGGUACAGUAGAGGUUGAAAUCGAUGACGUCAUAGGGUGGUACACAUCCGGUGCAGAGCUCAUUCCUCCCAGCGUCGCAGCGGGUUCGAGCACCCAGAACCAGGUGAUGGCGGCCCCGGU